GAUGAACGCUAGCGGGAGGCCUAACACAUGCAAGCCGAGCGGUAUUGUUUCUUCGGCAAUGAGAGAGCGGCGUACGGGUGCGUAACACGUGUGCAACCUGCCUUUAUCUGGGGGAUAGCCUUUCGAAAGGAAGAUUAAUACUCCAUAAUAUAUUGAACGGCAUCGUUUAAUAUUGAAAGCUCCGGCGGAUAGAGAUGGGCACGCGCAAGAUUAGCUAGUUGGUGAGGUAACGGCUCACCAAGGCGAUGAUCUUUAGGGGGCCUGAGAGGGUGAUCCCCCACACUGGUACUGAGACACGGACCAGACUCCUACGGGAGGCAGCAGUGAGGAAUAUUGGGCAAUGGGUGCAAGCCUGAACCAGCCAUCCCGCGUGAAGGACGACUGCCCUAUGGGUUGUAAACUUCUUUUGUAUAGGGAUAAACCUACCCUCGAGAGGGUAGCUGAAGGUACUAUACGAAUAAGCACCGGCUAACUCCGUG
Molecule: ribosomal RNA, 479 nt
Filed under: uncultured bacterium
Lineage: Bacteria
Description: partial 16S ribosomal RNA
Rfam family: Bacterial small subunit ribosomal RNA
Source: RNAcentral